This 393-nucleotide ribosomal RNA is filed under the name uncultured bacterium. RNAcentral describes it as "bacterial SSU rRNA". It matches the Rfam family "Bacterial small subunit ribosomal RNA", at positions 27 to 424 of the family's 1533-position model. The record is from RNAcentral.
GGACGAACGCUGGCGGCGUGCUUAACACAUGCAAGUCGAGCGGUAAGGCCCUUUCGGGGGUACACGAGCGGCGAACGGGUGAGUAACACGUGGGUGACCUGCCCUUAGCUCUGGGAUAAGCCUGGGAAACUGGGUCUAAUACCGGAUAUGACUCCAUGACGCAUGUUGUGGGGUGGAAAGCCUUGUGCGGCUAGGGAUGGGCCCGCGGCCUAUCAGCUUGUUGGUGGGGUGANGGCCUACCAAGGCGACGACGGGUAGCCGGCCUGAGAGGGCGACCGGCCACACUGGGACUGAGACACGGCCCAGACUCCUACGGGAGGCAGCAGUGGGGAAUCUUGCGCAAUGGGCGAAAGCCUGACGCAGCGACGCCGCGUGGGGAUGACGGCCUCGGUU